UUAGCUCCAGGAGGUAGGAGUCCUAUUAAGGCUCUGCCACCCACUGACUGUGUCCCCUUAAAUACGCCACAUAACUGUUCUCGUUUCGGUUUCUAUGUCUAUAAAAUGAAGUGGCUCUCCAGAUGUCUUGGGGGACAUAGAGCUAGCUGGUUGGGCAUCUCCUGUGUUGUUGUUCACAUUAUGGUGAUCUGCCUUAUGCUAAUUUCGUGCCUAAUGCCAUGAAAGAAAGGGUUUUUUUUUUCUAUUUUACUCUAUGGAUCUAGCAUAACGAGCUCCCCAGAGCAAUAUAAAUAACUGCUUACUAUGGCAGUGAACUUCCUCACAGCAAAAAUAUAGAUUCAGACAAUGAGGAAAUAUUUGUAAGAUAUUGAUGUGAACACGGAACCUGUCUCCUUAAAGCAAGCCAAACUGCCAUUCAAAUAUUGUAGCAUAACAAAAAUAUCUUAGGGCCCACAAAGCCUCACAUUAAAAUUGUUCUUGGAGGAAGUAUUCAACUGAAAAGUGGUACUUCGGAGGGCAGUGCAAGAAAUGCUAGAACAACAGGCCAUCAGAUACCUGGAUCAAGUUCAUUACAGGAAUUUUCUUAAAGUUGGGGAAAGGAAAUUCCUCCAGAACAAAAUAUCAUCACACUUGCACAAGUCCAAAAAAGAACCUACUCCUUUGGAAUUGCAACAUGGACUGAAAACUGGCAGCCCUCUAGGACCUACAUGCCACGCCAGCACCAGAUCGGAAUUGUUGAGACAUCCAGUCUCAUGUACUAAACAACUCCUGAACCGUUGGCCUUCCCAUCAGGAGACAGCCAUUGUUGAACUUCUCGGACUGCAAUCUGUUAACCACUCAAAUAGAUCCCAUAUGUGUGUGCGUGUAUAUGUAUGAGAGAGCUUGGCCUCAUGAACGCUCAUGAAUGCUUCCCAGAAACAAUCUCAUUCCUUGAGCUGUCCCAAGCAAUACUGACCUGGUGACUCUACCUGGCACCCACUCCAAGACUCAUAAAUCUCUAGGUGGUUUUGAAUGAAGAGAAUUUCCCCAGACCGUUGGCCUGACCAGCCUGGUGCCCUGUUGCCUGAAUGUUGCCUGGCUUUAAAAAGUGAGGCAAAGGUAGCUUAUCCAAUAAUUGCAGCAAUGCUUGUCAACCACCCAUCCAUCUGAAGAUGCACAAAAAAACACCUUAUCUCCUUCCUGGAAUGCCGAGCCCUCCAGUAACUAAGAUUGUCACCAAGUAUAUUUUGUAAUUUGUGCCCAAAUACUAUGGAAAUGGGAGUUGCAAUAAAGACAAAGUCCAUUUCCUUGUGAACAAAGGGACAGCUUACUACCAAAAGGCAAAGGCUCCAGAGUGCGAGAACAAGUGGAUUUGCAUAGGAGCCCCGCUCCCGCUCCCACUCCCGCUCCCACUCCCGCUCCCACUCCCGAGAAGCUUUUAGUCGCAGGUGCAGCUGGAGAGCUCAAAGCUGCAUGUUUUGUUUUAGUCUGAGAGGAUGGGAACUUGAACCAAUGGACGAAUGAAUAAGAUAAGAUGAAAAGGACAGAAAGGUGAGAGGAAGAAGAAGAAAAGCAUGAGAAGGAGACCUUAAAAAAAAAAAAAACCUCAAAAUUGUAGGCAUCCUUAAAUUCCAAAGGGAAAAGAAACGUGCCUCCGAAAACAAAGCAAUUGAUUCAAUUAAGCAGAAAGGCCACGUGGGUCUUUAUUGGCCAUGUUAACACCAGUGAAUGAAGUAAGCCAAGCCUUGUUUCUGUAGGCCACACGCUAAAAUCGCCCACUCCCUAGGAUUAUGAUGUCCCCUGCCUCAGGUAAUUCCUUCGCCACCAAAGUAUACAAUGCCUAGCACACAGAAAAGUCUCUAUAAAAGAUGGCAUUACUAUUGUCACAAUUUUUGCUAAUAUUAAAUAUGGAGGCUUUUGACUUGAGCUAUGUGUCUUCUAGUAUGAGUGAGAGAAAAUUCCAUGAAUGUAAUAAAUAAAGCAUAUGCAUGCACCUGUACCCACAAACACACACACUAUCAGUAAAUCAACAUAAGUGCCUUUUCCCCUAAAACUGAACUAAAUCACCCUUAGUACAUGUCCCACACGCAGACACAAGCACGCUGAGACAGGAGUAGUGAGGUGGAAGAGUGGAGGUAAAACAACUCUAAGAAUUCCACGUUUUUGCUCCCACAGUCAAUACAAGAGGAGUUCUGGAGCUCUGGCUACAUAUAAGGAACUCCUGUGGGCUCUGCACAAACUAGCUCAUGCAGUAUUCUUAAUAAUUUUUGAAGCAUUAGCCUCGUCUCACACAUCUAGAAACAGACAUAAUGGGGCUAAGAAACUUGGCUAGUGGAUCUUGUUCAGAAAGAGGAGAAUCCAGGAUCCAAUGUGAGCUGGCGUGACAGCUCUCAACCCCAAAUCACACUGCUGCUCUACUACAGAAAUGAGCCUCGGACGAUCCAUCAAACAUCACUUGGAUUUCCUCACAGUGAAAAAGCAGAAACUGAGCCCAGAGAGACCCAGGUUCUCAAGGACUGAGAAUGAGGGAUGCCCCACAGGGAAAGGAAAUUGAUCUGACUUUACAGACACUGUGGAUAAUUGGAGGCACCACCAUCAUCACGUGUGUCUGGGGCAGGACCAUGAAGCUGCAGAGAAGACAUCUUGGGGAAGAAACAAAAGUCCAACCAAUUACAGCCUACUCCCUUCUCUCCUACCACCAGGCCUACAACAGCACUUCGAUUUUCAUACACCCAUUUUAUAUGUGGGAAAACUAAACCUCAGAGAGAGUAAGCAAUGUGUCCAAAGUCACCUAGUUAGGCGAGAAAGGACCGGAACCUGACGACGAAAUAAAAUGGUGACAUGACCCAUGCUCCGGAAAUAUCCAGCCUUAGCAAUUUUCAAGUGAUAUUUGGUAAUGCUGAUAAUCAUAGUGGUGGUGGUUCAAGAAAUGCUAAAUAAGAGGGAAAAAUCAUUUUAGAAAAAUACAUGUUGUUUACAUAAAUAACAGGAAAAAAAAUCAUUUUAGAAAAUACUUGUUGUUUACACUACCAGCCCGGAAAGGAAGAGGGUGACACGUGGCACCGAGGGCAGGUAUUGCGAUUACUCUCCCCGUCAGCCUGACAAUUCAGAAUCACACGUUCAGAAUGUGUUACUCUGUGGGAGGGUGUCUGCAAGAGAGUUUCUAGAAAGGUUUAACCGAAGAAUGGAGAUCCACCCUUAAUGUGGGUGGCACCAUCCAGUAGAGUGGGCUUCAAGAAGAGAAAGACCAGGACAGUUGCAGUAAGAUAGUG
Non-coding RNA from Myodes glareolus (Bank vole), 3251 nucleotides. The record is from RefSeq and is a predicted model, not a curated record. NCBI's taxonomy places the organism in Eukaryota, Metazoa, Chordata, Mammalia, Rodentia, Cricetidae.